Long non-coding RNA from Pelmatolapia mariae (spotted tilapia), 417 nucleotides. RefSeq lists it as uncharacterized. The record is from RefSeq and is a predicted model, not a curated record. The transcript is spliced from 4 exons. NCBI's taxonomy places the organism in Eukaryota, Metazoa, Chordata, Actinopteri, Cichliformes, Cichlidae.
GCCAAGGCAUAUAAUUGUGUGGUGUGUCAACUCUAAUUUGUUUCCUCUCUGUGCAGGGGGAUGACUGAAGCUAUCACCUUGCUAAUCCUUGCUGUCCAAACUGGCCUCAUUGAGCUGCAGGAGUUUGUGGAAGCACUUCCGUGCAGUUUCUCUCUGUCCCUUCCUGCUGACCUUUCCAGCGUACAUGGCUUAUAUGAUCUGCCAGUUCUUCCACAUGGACUUCUGGCUUCUCAUCAUCAUCUCCUCCUCAAUCCUCACCUCUCUCCAGGUGCUUGGCACUCUGUUGAUCUGUUGUUCACUUCAUGGUGGAGGAGUUUCGUAAAGCUCCAGUGGAGAACGUGGAUGAAGUCAUAUAUUGUGUAAAUGGGACCUACAGAUGCUGGAGUUUCUGGUUGCGGUGUGCGUGGUGUGCUAUGG